CCUACGGGUGGCAGCAGUAGGGAAUCUUCCACAAUGGGCGAAAGCCUGAUGGAGCAACGCCGCGUGGGUGAAGAAGGUCUUCGGAUCGUAAAACCCUGUUGGUAGAGAAGAAAGUGCGUGAGAGUAACUGUUCACGUGUCGACGGUAUCUAACCAGAAAGCGACGGCUAACUACGUGACAGCAGCCGCGGUAAUACGUAGGUGGCAAGCGUUAGCCGGAUUUAUUGGGAGUAAAGGGAACGCAGGCGGACGUUUAAGUCUGAUGUGAAAGCUGUCGGCUUAACCGGAGUAGGGCAUUGGAAACUGGGAGCCUUGAGUGCAGAAGAGGAGAGUGGAACGCCAUGUGUAGCGGGGAAAUGCAUAGAUAUAUGGCAGAACACCAGUUGCGAAAGCGGCUCUCUGGUGUGUAACUGACGCUGAGGUUCGAAAGCGUGGGUAGCAAACAGGAUUAGAUACCCGGGUAGUC
Molecule: ribosomal RNA, 465 nt
Filed under: uncultured bacterium
Lineage: Bacteria
Description: partial 16S ribosomal RNA
Rfam family: Bacterial small subunit ribosomal RNA
Source: RNAcentral